GCCAUAAUUGACACUAAUCUAGAUUCAGUAACUUUAAGAGUGAAGAACUCUCAUCCCUACCAUAAAGUUUAUUUUUAAUAACAAGCUUCCUCAGAGAUACGUAUAGAAAGUCUAAACUAUUUUGGCAGUACAAUCAGCUUGAUAAGAGCAACUUUUUAAUUUUAACUUUUUCAAACUUAAUUCACUUUGCAGGAAGAGACAACUGGUUAUGAACUAAGUCAAAGCCUCAGGUAAAGUACAAGUUCUUCUAGAUAGGGGAAUUAAGCAUGCAGAUCCUAAAAUUCCUAGAGAACACCGCAGGAUGCCUGCUGGACCAUUUGCCGCACCGUUCUGAAAACCGGCAUUUGUUCAGGGAAUGCUUUGCUGGAAAUAAGCUCAGGUAGUAUGGGAGCACCUAACCUAGCCUGAGCUGAGUCUUACCAGACGGAUGGGCAGAGGAUGAGGGGAAGGGAUUCCAGACAGAAGGAUCAAAUGGAUUAGAAAAGCCACAGGAUCCUUGAAAUAGUCAUUAGUAUGGGGAAUAUGUAAGAAGAGAGGACGGGAACAUUUUGAAGAGAAGCAGCUCAGGAGAGGUUGAAACUAGGGAGAAGUUAAGACUCAUCGCAAAGCAGUAUGGAGAAAAAGAACAACUUGGGUCAAAGAUGAAGCCCUAGGAAACACCAACAGGUAAAGGUUGAACAAGCGCUGUCUUGAGGAAGACCAACA
Gorilla gorilla gorilla (western lowland gorilla) is the source of this 705-nucleotide long non-coding RNA. RefSeq lists it as uncharacterized. Lineage: Eukaryota; Metazoa; Chordata; Mammalia; Primates; Hominidae. The record is from RefSeq and is a predicted model, not a curated record. The transcript has 3 exons.